This 67-nucleotide transfer RNA is filed under the name Marmota monax (woodchuck). RNAcentral's name for it is "tRNA.Ala". Lineage: Eukaryota; Metazoa; Chordata; Mammalia; Rodentia; Sciuridae. The record is from RNAcentral.
GGUUGUGGCUCAGUGGUAAAGUGCUCACCUAGCAUAUACGAGGCCCUGAGUUCGAUCCUCAGCACCA